Schizosaccharomyces pombe (fission yeast) is the source of this 303-nucleotide non-coding RNA. NCBI's taxonomy places the organism in Eukaryota, Fungi, Ascomycota, Schizosaccharomycetes, Schizosaccharomycetales, Schizosaccharomycetaceae. The record is from the annotation of a GenBank genome assembly.
UUUAAGACGGUUUUAAUAGUGUAGAGCAAUAUGCGAAAAAAUGAAGACUGUUAAUGUUGUUCCAAUUCGUGCACAUACAAGUAAAAGUACGACUUCUACCUGAGAUUAAGGUUAUGGAAUCUGAACUUCUACAGAAUUAAUACAUAAUUUAAUCUUCAAUUACGAAGAUAAAUUGUAACUCGUUCGCUUCGUUUAUAGACUCGGAGAAAGUCGAUGUUGACAGCAUAAUAACCAUUCUUUGAGUUGAUAUUUGAAGCUUUGGCAUUUUCAUGAAUUGAUUAUAAAAAAAAAUCUUCUCAAUAU